Molecule: unclassified non-coding RNA, 558 nt
Filed under: Hevea brasiliensis (rubber tree)
Lineage: Eukaryota; Viridiplantae; Streptophyta; Magnoliopsida; Malpighiales; Euphorbiaceae
Source: RNAcentral
UCGGACGCGGCGAUGAUGACGAGGAAGAGUUCGAGUUUGCAAUUUUGUGUACAGAGCCGGACGCGUCGCCCAUUUCAGCUGAUGAGAUCUUCUAUAACGGCCAGCCAUUCUAUCCGGUAUUCAACACAGCGUUGCUGACAGACGACCGGGAAGAAUUAUCCAAACCAUCAUCCGCUGUCUCCGACAACCAAACCCCCAAACCCAUCAGAUUACCAUUGAGGAAACUCUUCAGUGAAGAGCGAGAAACGACGUCGUGCUCGUCUUCGGAGGCCGACGAGCUGGAAACUGUGCCUGCUGGGACUUACUGCGUGUGGACUCCAAAGAAGGGAAAGGAAACCCCCGGAAAGUGCAAGAAAAGCAGCUCCACUGGGUCUUCGAAGAGAUGGAAGUUUCGAGACUUGCUUUACAGGAGUAAUAGCGAUGGAAAAGAUACCUUCGUGUUCUUGACGCCGGUGAAGAAGAGCAGUGAAAGAGUAAUAGAGGAUGAAGGUAAAGAGAACAAAGAGAAAGACAAGGACGGGAAAGCAAUGGUUAAGGAGCAUCACGCGAAGAACAGAG